GGCCAGACUCCUACGGGAGGCAGCAGUGGGGAAUAUUGCACAAUGGGGGGAACCCUGAUGCAGCGACGCCGCGUGGGUGAAGAAGCGCCUCGGCGCGUAAAGCCCUGUCAGCAGGGAAGAAAAUGACGGUACCUGAAGAAGAAGCCCCGGCUAACUACGUGCCAGCAGCCGCGGUAAUACGUAGGGGGCAAGCGUUAUCCGGAUUUACUGGGUGUAAAGGGGGCGCAGACGGCGAUGCAAGCCAGGAGUGAAAGCCCGGGGCCCAACCCCGGGACUGCUCUUGGAACUGCGUGGCUGGAGUGCAGGAGGGGCAGGCGGAAUUCCUGGUGUAGCGGUGAAAUGCGUAGAUAUCAGGAGGAACACCGGUGGCGAAGGCGGCCUGCUGGACUGCAACUGACGUUGAGGCCCGAAAGCGUGGGGAGCAAACAGGAUUAGAUACCCCAGUAA
RNAcentral lists this ribosomal RNA (447 nucleotides) under uncultured bacterium. RNAcentral's name for it is "partial 16S ribosomal RNA". It matches the Rfam family "Bacterial small subunit ribosomal RNA", at positions 329 to 793 of the family's 1533-position model. The record is from RNAcentral.